Long non-coding RNA from Lolium perenne, 1565 nucleotides. RefSeq lists it as uncharacterized. NCBI's taxonomy places the organism in Eukaryota, Viridiplantae, Streptophyta, Magnoliopsida, Poales, Poaceae. The record is from RefSeq and is a predicted model, not a curated record.
UUCAAAAUGUUUAAACUUUGUGUUGGUUUCAAAUUAAUUUACAAACAGUUUUCUAAAAGCAAACAAAGGAGAAAAACCCCAAAAUCUAACCUACCUUCCCGGGCUUCCCCUCUCUCUGUUUUCCCUCUGGCCCGAACCAACCCCAGUCCACCUCCCUUCCUUCUGGCCCAUCUUUUCUCUCCACCGCAGGCCCAAGCAGCUCGGCACCCAUCUUGGCCCGUACCCCUUCGGCCCUCCCCCACCUUCUUUUUCCUCGUCCUCGCUGGAAAGCGACCGAGCACGCAUGGCGCGUGAGGCCGUGGUCCUCACCACCGCACCGACGCCACCACCUGCUCCCUCCCCUCUCCUUAUCUCUUCCAGGACCACCGCACCUCACUUUCCUCCUCCCCCAAGUUUCCUCUCCUCCCCUUCUUCUUCCUCUGCAAGCAAACGGGAGAACCCCCCCACGGCAACCACCUCUCCGCCUUGGCGCCGCUGCUCCGGCCACCCCCUUCCCCGUCCGAGCACACCACCAGAUGCAUCUCGAUCUCCUCUACCACCUCCUGCAAGGAAUCGAGCCGCGGAGCCCUGCACGCGACGCCAUCGUCUCCGAAGUCUGCCACGGCUACCGGCGAAAAUCUUCAAUUCCGACGACCACCCUCCUCCUCUGCUCUCGCCGUCGACGCCUUGAGCUCCAGGGACCUCGUCGCCGGUCGCCUUCCGGUGAUCCCCAAGACGGCGCGCCACCACCUUCAGGUUCGCCUUGGCGAGACGCGCCGAACGCCUCCACUCGCGCUUCCGGGUACCCCCUGCAACGCCCGCCCGUGCGACGCCGCCCCGCGGUGACCGCGCCUCCCUGGAACGCUGCCGGCAUCGAGCAGUUGAUGUGCAGCCGCUCAAGAUCUGCCACGCUGGCGCCAGCUCAGCACCGCGGGCCCCUCCUGUCAGCGACCUGGGCUAACCCCCCUCCGCAUUUGCUUCUUCCCGGAUAGGAUCGCGAAGUGGUGUGGUGAGAUACGACAAGUUCUCCCGAUGUCCCUCGGCAAGCUUUAACAGGCAAGCAUUUUCCCCUAUACUUCUGCCCCUGCAGAAGUCGCUCACCUAUUUUAUUUUGCCUUCUUCCUCAUGCUAGCUUUAAGUUGCGUUCUUGUCACGUGUCCCUUCCACUUGUUACCUCAAGCAGCCUAUAUUGCCUCCACCAACCACCUAUGGCUAUUGUUUGGUUUCGGGUCUGCCUUGCGAGUCGUAGUGCAUGCUAGUGCUGUUUAUAUCUCGUUACCGAUACUGCGAUCUUAUCGGGUUAUCUGUUGGGGAACAUGACACAUGGUUUAUGGAUAUAUCUGUUGUGGAUAUCAUGGUUACUUGUUAAUAGUUGUUAGCGGAGACAUCGGUGGGUCAGUUGCUCGUUUUAUGACGGCUCACUUGUGUUUCCUAAAUAUCUUAGGACCCCGAGUUCUUGUUAUCUGUUCCGAGACUGAGCGCUCUAACCACACGUGGGUAUGUUUCUGGGUCUCCCCUCGACCACUGCCGGAAUCUACAGCUUUGUCCAGUGGCCACAACUAGUUCGCAAUGUUUUACCAUUUGUU